This 2430-nucleotide ribosomal RNA is filed under the name Staphylococcus aureus. RNAcentral describes it as "partial 23S ribosomal RNA". It matches the Rfam family "Bacterial large subunit ribosomal RNA", at positions 343 to 2777 of the family's 2925-position model. The record is from RNAcentral. Lineage: Bacteria; Bacillati; Bacillota; Bacilli; Caryophanales; Staphylococcaceae.
UGGAAAGAUGAAUCAAAGAAGGUAAUAAUCCUGUAGUCGAAAAUGUUGUCUCUCUUGAGUGGAUCCUGAGUACGACGGAGCACGUGAAAUUCCGUCGGAAUCUGGGAGGACCAUCUCCUAAGGCUAAAUACUCUCUAGUGACCGAUAGUGAACCAGUACCGUGAGGGAAAGGUGAAAAGCACCCCGGAAGGGGAGUGAAAUAGAACCUGAAACCGUGUGCUUACAAGUAGUCAGAGCCCGUUAAUGGGUGAUGGCGUGCCUUUUGUAGAAUGAACCGGCGAGUUACGAUUUGAUGCAAGGUUAAGCAGUAAAUGUGGAGCCGUAGCGAAAGCGAGUCUGAAUAGGGCGUUUAGUAUUUGGUCGUAGACCCGAAACCAGGUGAUCUACCCUUGGUCAGGUUGAAGUUCAGGUAACACUGAAUGGAGGACCGAACCGACUUACGUUGAAAAGUGAGCGGAUGAACUGAGGGUAGCGGAGAAAUUCCAAUCGAACCUGGAGAUAGCUGGUUCUCUCCGAAAUAGCUUUAGGGCUAGCCUCAAGUGAUGAUUAUUGGAGGUAGAGCACUGUUUGGACGAGGGGCCCCUCUCGGGUUACCGAAUUCAGACAAACUCCGAAUGCCAAUUAAUUUAACUUGGGAGUCAGAACAUGGGUGAUAAGGUCCGUGUUCGAAAGGGAAACAGCCCAGACCACCAGCUAAGGUCCCAAAAUAUAUGUUAAGUGGAAAAGGAUGUGGCGUUGCCCAGACAACUAGGAUGUUGGCUUAGAAGCAGCCAUCAUUUAAAGAGUGCGUAAUAGCUCACUAGUCGAGUGACACUGCGCCGAAAAUGUACCGGGGCUAAACAUAUUACCGAAGCUGUGGAUUGUCCUUUGGACAAUGGUAGGAGAGCGUUCUAAGGGCGUUGAAGCAUGAUCGUAAGGACAUGUGGAGCGCUUAGAAGUGAGAAUGCCGGUGUGAGUAGCGAAAGACGGGUGAGAAUCCCGUCCACCGAUUGACUAAGGUUUCCAGAGGAAGGCUCGUCCGCUCUGGGUUAGUCGGGUCCUAAGCUGAGGCCGACAGGCGUAGGCGAUGGAUAACAGGUUGAUAUUCCUGUACCACCUAUAAUCGUUUUAAUCGAUGGGGGGACGCAGUAGGAUAGGCGAAGCGUGCGAUUGGAUUGCACGUCUAAGCAGUAAGGCUGAGUAUUAGGCAAAUCCGGUACUCAUUAAGGCUGAGCUGUGAUGGGGAGAAGACAUUGUGUCUUCGAGUCGUUGAUUUCACACUGCCGAGAAAAGCCUCUAGAUAGAAAAUAGGUGCCCGUACCGCAAACCGACACAGGUAGUCAAGAUGAGAAUUCUAAGGUGAGCGAGCGAACUCUCGUUAAGGAACUCGGCAAAAUGACCCCGUAACUUCGGGAGAAGGGGUGCUCUUUAGGGUUAACGCCCAGAAGAGCCGCAGUGAAUAGGCCCAAGCGACUGUUUAUCAAAAACACAGGUCUCUGCUAAACCGUAAGGUGAUGUAUAGGGGCUGACGCCUGCCCGGUGCUGGAAGGUUAAGAGGAGUGGUUAGCUUCUGCGAAGCUACGAAUCGAAGCCCCAGUAAACGGCGGCCGUAACUAUAACGGUCCUAAGGUAGCGAAAUUCCUUGUCGGGUAAGUUCCGACCCGCACGAAAGGCGUAACGAUUUGGGCACUGUCUCAACGAGAGACUCGGUGAAAUCAUAGUACCUGUGAAGAUGCAGGUUACCCGCGACAGGACGGAAAGACCCCGUGGAGCUUUACUGUAGCCUGAUAUUGAAAUUCGGCACAGCUUGUACAGGAUAGGUAGGAGCCUUUGAAACGUGAGCGCUAGCUUACGUGGAGGCGCUGGUGGGAUACUACCCUAGCUGUGUUGGCUUUCUAACCCGCACCACUUAUCGUGGUGGGAGACAGUGUCAGGCGGGCAGUUUGACUGGGGCGGUCGCCUCCUAAAAGGUAACGGAGGCGCUCAAAGGUUCCCUCAGAAUGGUUGGAAAUCAUUCAUAGAGUGUAAAGGCAUAAGGGAGCUUGACUGCGAGACCUACAAGUCGAGCAGGGUCGAAAGACGGACUUAGUGAUCCGGUGGUUCCGCAUGGAAGGGCCAUCGCUCAACGGAUAAAAGCUACCCCGGGGAUAACAGGCUUAUCUCCCCCAAGAGUUCACAUCGACGGGGAGGUUUGGCACCUCGAUGUCGGCUCAUCGCAUCCUGGGGCUGUAGUCGGUCCCAAGGGUUGGGCUGUUCGCCCAUUAAAGCGGUACGCGAGCUGGGUUCAGAACGUCGUGAGACAGUUCGGUCCCUAUCCGUCGUGGGCGUAGGAAAUUUGAGAGGAGCUGUCCUUAGUACGAGAGGACCGGGAUGGACAUACCUCUGGUGUACCAGUUGUCGUGCCAACGGCAUAGCUGGGUAGCUAUGUGUGGACGGGAUAAGUGCUGAAAG